CUAAGAAUCUUCCGCAAUGGGGGAAACCCUGACGGAGCGACGCCGCGUGGAUGAUGAAGGCCGUAAGGUUGUAAAAUCCUUUUGUCGGUGAAGAAUAAGCCAGGGAGUGGAAAGCCCUGGUGAUGACGUUAGCCGACGAAUAAGCCCCGGCUAAUUACGUGCCAGCAGCCGCAGUCAUACGUAUGGGGCAAGCGUUGUUCGGAUUUAUUGGGCGUAAAGGGCGUGUAGGCGGCUCAUCAAGUCUGGUGGGAAAUUGCAGAGCUUAACUCUGCGUAUGCGCUGGAAACUGGUGGGCUUGAGUUCUUGAGGGGAAGCUGGAAUUCCAGGUGUAGGGGUGAAAUCUGUAGAUAUCUGGAAGAACACCGGUGGCGAAGGCGAGCUUCUAUCAGAGGACUGACGCUGAGGCGCGAAAGCGUGGGGAGCAAACA
Molecule: ribosomal RNA, 428 nt
Filed under: uncultured prokaryote
Description: bacterial SSU rRNA
Rfam family: Bacterial small subunit ribosomal RNA
Source: RNAcentral